RNAcentral lists this ribosomal RNA (521 nucleotides) under uncultured Glomeromycotina. RNAcentral's name for it is "SSU rRNA". It matches the Rfam family "Eukaryotic small subunit ribosomal RNA", at positions 548 to 1075 of the family's 1831-position model. The record is from RNAcentral. Lineage: Eukaryota; Fungi; Glomeromycota.
UUGGAGGGCAAGUCUGGUGCCAGCAGCCGCGGUAAUUCCAGCUCCAAUAGCGUAUAUUAAAGUUGCUGCAGUUAAAAAGCUCGUAGUUGAAUUUCGGGAUCAAUACGUCGGUCGUGCUUAGGUACGUACUGGCGUAAUUGAUUUCUCCCUUCUGACGAACCAUGAUGUCAUUAACUUGGUGUCAUGGGAAAUCAGGACUGUUACUUUGAAAAAUUAGAGUGUUUAAAGCAGGCUCACGCUUGAAUACAUUAGCAUGGAAUAAUGAAAUAGGACGUUUGAUUCUAUUUUGUUGGUUUCUAGGAUCGACGUAAUGAUUAAUAGGGAUAGUUGGGGGCAUUAGUAUUCAAUUGUCAGAGGUGAAAUUCUUGGAUUUAUUGAAGACUAACUACUGCGAAAGCAUUUGCCAAGGAUGUUUUCAUUAAUCAAGAACGAAAGUUAGGGGAUCGAAGACGAUCAGAUACCGUCGUAGUCUUAACCAUAAACUAUGCCGACUAGGGAUCGGAUGAUGUUAAUUUUUAAUG